This 434-nucleotide ribosomal RNA is filed under the name uncultured bacterium. Its description in RNAcentral is "partial 16S ribosomal RNA". It matches the Rfam family "Bacterial small subunit ribosomal RNA", at positions 29 to 507 of the family's 1533-position model. The record is from RNAcentral.
AGCGAACGCUGGCGGCAGGCCUAACACAUGCAAGUCGAACGAACCUUUCGGGGUUAGUGGCGGACGGGUGAGUAACACGUGGGAACGUGCCUUUAGGUUCGGAAUAACUCAGGGAAACUUGUGCUAAUACCGAAUGUGCCCUUCGGGGGAAAGAUUUAUCGCCUUUAGAGCGGCCCGCGUCUGAUUAGCUAGUUGGUUGAGGUAAUGGCUCACCAAGGCGACGAUCAGUAGCUGGUCUGAGAGGAUGAUCAGCCACAUUGGGACUGAGACACGGCCCAAACUCCUACGGGAGGCAGCAGUGGGGAAUCUUGCGCAAUGGGCGAAAGCCUGACGCAGCCAUGCCGCGUGAAUGAUGAAGGUCUUAGGAUUGUAAAAUUCUUUCACCAGGGACGAUAAUGACGGUACCCGGAGAAGAAGCCCCGGCUAACUUCGUG